GACGAACGCUGGCGGCGUGCUUAACACAUGCAAGUCGAACGCUGAAGCUCAGCUUUUGUUGGGUGGAUGAGUGGCGAACGGGUGAGUAACACGUGAGUAACCUGCCUCCUUCUUUGGGAUAACGCCCGGAAACGGGUGCUAAUACUGGAUAUUCACUGGUCUUCGCAUGGGGGUUGGUGGAAAGGGUUUUUCUGGUGGGGGAUGGGCUCGCGGCCUAUCAGCUUGUUGGUGGGGUGAUGGCCUACCAAGGCUUUGACGGGUAGCCGGCCUGAGAGGGUGACCGGUCACAUUGGGACUGAGAUACGGCCCAGACUCCUACGGGAGGCAGCAGUGGGGAAUAUUGCACAAUGGGCGCAAGCCUGAUGCAGCGACGCCACGUGAGGGAUGGAGGCCUUCGGGUUGUGAACCUCUUUCGCUCAUGGUCAAGCCGCAACAAUGGUUGUGGUGAGGGUAGUGGGUAAAGAAGCGCCGGCUAACUACGU
Molecule: ribosomal RNA, 482 nt
Filed under: uncultured bacterium
Lineage: Bacteria
Description: partial 16S ribosomal RNA
Rfam family: Bacterial small subunit ribosomal RNA
Source: RNAcentral